This 450-nucleotide ribosomal RNA is filed under the name Paradoxophyla palmata (web-foot frog). Its description in RNAcentral is "partial small subunit ribosomal RNA". It matches the Rfam family "Bacterial small subunit ribosomal RNA", at positions 883 to 1533 of the family's 1533-position model. The record is from RNAcentral. Lineage: Eukaryota; Metazoa; Chordata; Amphibia; Anura; Microhylidae.
CGAGCUCAAGCUUAAAACCCAAAGGACUUGACGGUGUCCCACCCACCUAGAGGAGCCUGUUCUAUAAUCGAUUCCCCCCGAUUUACCUCACCACUUUUUGCCUAUCCAGCCUGUAUACCUCCGUCGUAAGCUUACCAUAUGAACGACUCUUAGUGAGCCAUAAGAUUAUUACAUCAACACGUCAGGUCAAGGUGCAGCCCACAAAGUGGAAAGAAAUGGGCUACAAUUUCUAACCUAGAACACACGAAAGACUACAUGAAACACAGCCAUGAAGGUGGAUUUAGUAGUAAAAAGAAAAUAGAGCGUUCUUUUUAACCAGGCGCUGGGACGCGUACACACCGCCCGUCACCCUCUUCAAACGCCAACAAAAGUUUUUAACACAACUAAGCACAAUAGAAGAGGUAAGUCGUAACACGGUAAGCGUACUGGAAAGUGCGCUUGGACUAACAA